This 192-nucleotide unclassified non-coding RNA is filed under the name uncultured soil eukaryote. RNAcentral describes it as "sequence contains ITS2, 28S rRNA gene". The stretch from base 90 to 192 matches the Rfam family "Eukaryotic large subunit ribosomal RNA", at positions 1 to 103 of the family's 3401-position model. The record is from RNAcentral.
CUAUCCCUUCGUAAGAAGUGGUGAUCCAGAUGUAAGGAUCUCUUGAAGGCGGUUGAAUCUAAUCAGUUUUCUACACAGCCUCUGUUAUUUUAACCCGAGCUGAGCAAGAUUACUCGCUGAAUUUAAGCAUAUAAUUAAGCGAAGGAACAGAAAAUAACAUUAAUUUCCUGAAUAGUGGCGAACGAAAAGGAA